GUACUUACCUGGACGGGGUCAACUCGUGAUCAAUAAGACUAGUGGUUUAGGCUAGUGACUUCCAUUGCACAUAACGUUAGGGUGCUACGCCUAAGGUCUUUUAUAGAUCCUGCGUCAUUAUUUGUGGCAGAGGGGGCUUGCGUUCGCGCAGCCCCUAC
Molecule: small nuclear RNA, 158 nt
Organism: Arabis alpina (gray rockcress)
Lineage: Eukaryota; Viridiplantae; Streptophyta; Magnoliopsida; Brassicales; Brassicaceae
Rfam family: U1 spliceosomal RNA
About the family: U1 is a small nuclear RNA (snRNA) component of the spliceosome (involved in pre-mRNA splicing). Its 5' end forms complementary base pairs with the 5' splice junction, thus defining the 5' donor site of an intron.
Source: Rfam